This 245-nucleotide ribosomal RNA is filed under the name uncultured bacterium. RNAcentral's name for it is "partial small subunit ribosomal RNA". It matches the Rfam family "Bacterial small subunit ribosomal RNA", at positions 26 to 285 of the family's 1533-position model. The record is from RNAcentral.
AGAAUCAACGCUGGCGGCGUGCCUAACACAUGCAAGUCGCACGAGAAAGGGACUUCGGUCCUGAGUAAAGUGGCGCACGGGUGAGUAACACGUGAAUCAUCUACCCUCGAGUGGGGAAUAACCUAGAGAAAUCUGGGCUAAUACCGCAUAACACUUACGAGUCAAAGCAGCAAUGCGCUUGGGGAGGAGUUCGCGGCCGAUUAGCUAGUUGGCGGGGUAAUGGCCCACCAAGGCGAUGAUCGGUA